UACAGAGGGUGCGAGCGUUAAUCGGAAUUACUGGGCGUAAAGCGCGCGUAGGCGGCUUUGCAAGUCGGGUGUGAAAUCCCCAGGCUCAACCUGGGAACUGCAUUCGAGACUGCAUUGCUAGAGUAUGGGAGAGGGAAGUGGAAUUUCAGGUGUAGCGGUGAAAUGCGUAGAUAUCUGAAGGAACAUCAGUGGCGAAAGCGGCCAACUGGACCAUUACUGACGCUGAGGCGCGAAAGCGUGGGGAGCAAACAGG
This 253-nucleotide ribosomal RNA is filed under the name uncultured bacterium. Its description in RNAcentral is "partial 16S ribosomal RNA". It matches the Rfam family "Bacterial small subunit ribosomal RNA", at positions 524 to 776 of the family's 1533-position model. The record is from RNAcentral.